AGUAGGGAAUCUUCCGGCAAAUGGGGGCAACCCUGACCGAGCAACGCCGCGUGAGUGAAGAAGGUUUUCGGAUCGUAAAGCUCUGUUGUAAGAGAAGAACGAGUGUGAGAGUGGAAAGUUCACACUGUGACGGUAACUUACCAGAAAGGGACGGCUAACUACGUGCCAGCAGCCGCGGUAAUACGUAGGUCCCGAGCGUUAUCCGGAUUUAUUGGGCGUAAAGCGAGCGCAGGCGGUUAGAUAAGUCUGAAGUUAAAGGCUGUGGCUUAACCAUAGUACGCUUUGGAAACUGUUUAACUUGAGUGCAGAAGGGGAGAGUGGAAUUCCAUGUGUAGCGGUGAAAUGCGUAGAUAUAUGGAGGAACACCGGUGGCGAAAGCGGCUCUCUGGUCUGUAACUGACGCUGAGGCUCGAAAGCGUGGGGAGCAAACAGGAUUAGAUACCCUGGUAGUCCACGCCGUAAACGAUGAGUGCUAGGUGUUGGGUCCUUUCCGGGACUCAGUGCCGCAGCUAACGCAUUAAGCACUCCGCCUGGGGAGUACGACCGCAAGGUUG
Molecule: ribosomal RNA, 554 nt
Filed under: uncultured bacterium
Lineage: Bacteria
Description: bacterial SSU rRNA
Rfam family: Bacterial small subunit ribosomal RNA
Source: RNAcentral